Molecule: non-coding RNA, 170 nt
Filed under: Kaistella haifensis
Lineage: Bacteria; Pseudomonadati; Bacteroidota; Flavobacteriia; Flavobacteriales; Weeksellaceae
Source: RNAcentral
GACAAAAACACUACAUUUGCAACACUUUUAGAAAAGGGAAUUGUGUGUAAAUCACAAACUGUCCCCGCAACUGUAAAUCACGCAAAAAAUUGUUUCGAAUAAAACCACUGGAAACGGGAAGGUGAAAACAAUGUGAAAGUCAGGAGACCUUGCUAAAAGCACGAUUAUUA